AGUGAACGCUGGCGGUAGGCCUAACACAUGCAAGUCGAACGGCAGCACAGUAAGAGCUUGCUCUUACGGGUGGCGAGUGGCGGACGGGUGAGGAAUACAUCGGAAUCUACUUUUUCGUGGGGGAUAACGUAGGGAAACUUACGCUAAUACCGCAUACGACCUACGGGUGAAAGCAGGGGAUCUUCGGACCUUGCGCGAUUGAAUGAGCCGAUGUCGGAUUAGCUAGUUGGCGGGGUAAAGGCCCACCAAGGCGACGAUCCGUAGCUGGUCUGAGAGGAUGAUCAGCCACACUGGAACUGAGACACGGUCCAGACUCCUACGGGAGGCAGCAGUGGGGAAUAUUGGACAAUGGGCGCAAGCCUGAUCCAGCCAUACCGCGUGGGCGAAGAAGGCCUUCGGGUUGUAAAGCCCAUUUGUUGGGAAAGAAAAGCAGCAGGUUAAUACCCCGCUGUUCUGACGGUACCCAAAGAAUAAGCACCGGCUAACUUCGUG
This 492-nucleotide ribosomal RNA is filed under the name uncultured bacterium. RNAcentral's name for it is "partial 16S ribosomal RNA". It matches the Rfam family "Bacterial small subunit ribosomal RNA", at positions 29 to 507 of the family's 1533-position model. The record is from RNAcentral.